AGCAGCCGCGGUAAUUCCAGCUCCAAUAGCGUAUAUUAAAGUUGUUGCAGUUAAAAAGCUCGUAGUUGAAUUUCGAGAUCGGCUUAUUGGUCGUGCUAUUGUACGUACUGGUAUAACCGGUUUCUCCUUUCUGACGAACCUUAAUGCCAUUAAUUUGGUGUUUUGGGAAAUCAGGACUGUUACUUUGAAAAAAUUAGAGUGUUUAAAGCAGGCUCACGCUUGAAUACAUUAGCAUGGAAUAACGGAAUAGGACGUUUGAUUCUAUUUUGUUGGUUUCUAGGAUCGACGUAAUGAUUAAUAGGGAUAGUUGGGGGCAUUAGUAUUCAAUUGUCAGAGGUGAAAUUCUUGGAUUUAUUGAAGACUAACUACUGCGAAAGCAUUUGCCAAGGAUGUUUUCAUUAAUCAAGAACGAAAGUUAGGGGAUCGAAGACGAUCAGAUACCGUCGUAGUCUUAACCAUAAACUACGCCGACUAGGGAUCGGAUGAUGUUAAUUUUUUAAUGACUCAUUCGGCGCCUUAC
This 520-nucleotide ribosomal RNA is filed under the name uncultured Glomus. Its description in RNAcentral is "SSU rRNA". It matches the Rfam family "Eukaryotic small subunit ribosomal RNA", at positions 569 to 1091 of the family's 1831-position model. The record is from RNAcentral. Lineage: Eukaryota; Fungi; Glomeromycota; Glomeromycetes; Glomerales; Glomeraceae.